Long non-coding RNA from Anolis carolinensis (green anole), 1463 nucleotides. RefSeq lists it as uncharacterized. Lineage: Eukaryota; Metazoa; Chordata; Lepidosauria; Squamata; Anolidae. The transcript has 2 exons. The record is from RefSeq and is a predicted model, not a curated record.
UCCACCUGCAAUCCAGGUCAAAUCCCAACCACAUUUUGGAAGCUUCGACGAUGUCAUAUAUUACAAUGUAAAUUGGUAGAAAGAUAGGUAAUGACAGUGUGAAUUGUCAAAAUUUGGUUGAGAUAGUGCUUGCAGUUAUGGAGGGACUCUGAUUUUUGCUUCUCAUAUACUUGACUAUGGGCUUGUUGGGAGUCCAAAACACCUGGAAGACCCAUCCAUCUUAGCAUUUGGUUAGAUUAGAAAGGUAAGGGCUCCUCAAAGGCUAUCCGGUCCAAGAAGUGUCUCCUAAAUUGUGUUCCUCCAGGUGUUUGGGAGGACCUCGCAGCAUCUCCAAGAGUUGGCCAAGGGGAUAGCAAUGAUGGGAGCAGGCCUGGGCAAACUAUGGCCCUCUCGGUGUUUUGGACUUCAACUCCCACAGUUCCAAAGUCAGAACUGGAGCGUCGACUCUUAAUACCCAAGGUGAUAUUGUAUAUAUUAGGCCGUUAGGAGAGGCGGGUCACCAGUAAACAUUAUAAUAAUGAUUACUGUGUGCGCUUUAAUGUCUUGGCAUUGGGCCCAAGGGGCAAAUGUUGCCCUAUAAAAUGCUGGAUGCCAAAAGCGCAGCAUCAGAGUCCCACCCAAUCCCCCUCAAAACACUGCUUUCUUAAGGGAUUCCUCCAGUGUUUUACAUGCAGCUCGUGUUGGAUGCCGGCCAUCCUGACUUGUUUUCAGGGGGAAAGGGGCGGAGGUGUUUGGGGCCUAAUUCCUGUUUUGUUCCAGAGCUGCAUCCCAUAGAAUAAAAACAUUUCCAGGCAGAACUACAAAGCAGCCAGGACUUUCUGUAAUAAUAAACAGGGAGCCUGUUCUUGUGGCUCUUUGGAGAGGGAGGGGUCCCAACUUCUGUGCUGUUUGGACCCCAACCUAUUGACUGCAAAGGGGGAGGGGGGUUACAUGGCAUAUAGGGUCCCCAGAGACCCUACAAAUGGCCCAUUUUGGACAACAGGGACACCUUCUUUUAUGGACAGAGAUGUUCUGUUGGAAGAGGCCUCAAGGUAAGGAAGAGUUGGAAGCAGCAGCAAUGUGGAGUUGAGUGCAUUAGCGACCGGAGCAAAUCUGAAAAUCGUGGUGAAUCGCAAUCGAUGGGCAGAAAGCGGGGCAAAGGGAAACAAUCAAGAAGGGAAAAAGAAGAGAGGAAGGAGAGAAGGAAAAAAUGUCAAUAUGAACACCAAGUCAACACAGAGCUUAUGGGAUGGACUAGUAUGGGAUAUAGUAUAAGCUAGGCCUACAUUGAUAGUAACUCUCAAGUAACUCAAAGGACAUUUAUCCGGCAUCUGCUAAUCUCUUAACUGAGAGUCUACUAUGUUUCAGUUUUAUUAACUGACAAGAUUUCAUUGCCAAAAUGCCCAUUUUGACCAGUUUUAUAUCUCUAUCUGUAUCUAAAAAUGAGCAAAUCACUAAUAAAGUUCCAGAGCAUCUGCUCCAAA